This 1410-nucleotide ribosomal RNA is filed under the name Triticum aestivum (bread wheat). Its description in RNAcentral is "partial small subunit ribosomal RNA". Lineage: Eukaryota; Viridiplantae; Streptophyta; Magnoliopsida; Poales; Poaceae. The record is from RNAcentral.
AUGGGCGGCCUCCGCCUCUCCGCCUGGGCGGCCGCGCCCUCCCCCUCCCCCUCCCCCUCCUCCGCCGCCGCGCGGGGCUUCCCGCGGUCCCCGCCGGACUGGCGCGGGUCAGAGCGCGGGCGCCGCAGCCGCUGCGCCCCGUCGUCCCCGCCCUCGGCGUCGCCGGCGCUGUCCCUGGGCGCGGCCGGCCGGCUCCGGGUCGGGGCGGACCGCGAGUGGCUGUGGGACUGCCGCGGCGGCGGCCUCGGAGGGGGAGGGGGCAAGAAGGACUACGCCAAGGAGAUGGAGGCGGCGGUGCGCGUCGUGCAGGUCGCCUGCACGCUCUGCCAGCGGGUGCAGGACGCGCUCCUCCUUGCGGACCCAGGCUCCGGCUCCGGGGGCGUCCACUCCAAGCUCGACCGCUCUCCGGUCACCGUCGCCGAUUGGGGCGUGCAAGCGACAGUGAGCUGGCUACUCUCAGAUCGCUUUGGUGAUGAAAGUGUGUCGAUCGUAGCAGAGGAAGACGAUGAGACACUGUCUAGUAGCGACGGCACGGCUUUGCUUGAGUCUGUCGUCGCUGCAGUCAACGGUUGCCUGGUUGAAGCUCCAAAGUAUGGGCUGAGAUCCCCGGAGAAAGACCUCGGGGCUCAUGAUGUUCUUCAAGCUAUACGGAAGUGCAGCUCUACCGGAGGUCCAAAAGGAAGAUUUUGGGUGCUUGAUCCUGUGGAUGGCACGCUUGGUUUUGUGCGUGGGGACCAAUACGCUAUUGCUCUCGCCUUAAUUGAAGACGGGGAAGUUGUGCUCGGUGUUCUCGGGUGCCCAAAUUAUCCAAUGAAGAAGGAAUGGCUCAACUACCACCAACGGUACUACAGGUUGAUGUCUAAGGUUGCUCCCCCUACAUCAGGAACCUGGAACAAGGGUUGCGUGAUGUAUGCUCACAAAGGAUGUGGCCAAGCUUGGAUGCAGCCAUUGGUUCACGACUUUGGUAUGCUUAGUUGGCAUAACUCAAGGGAGGUUCAAGUAUCGUCCGUCAGUGAUCCUGUUUCAGCAACAUUCUGUGAACCUGUUGAGAAAGCCAACUCCAGCCAUUCCUUCACUGCAGGACUUGCCCAUAGUGUAGGCUUAAGGAACCAGCCUCUGCGUGUGUACAGCAUGGUGAAAUAUGCUGCAAUAGCACGAGGUGAUGCUGAAAUCUUCAUGAAAUUCGCUAGAGCUGGAUACAAGGAGAAGAUAUGGGAUCAUGCCGCCGGGGUGGUCAUCAUUCAAGAGGCUGGUGGAGUGGUCACAGAUGCUGGGGGUUGCCCGUUGGACUUUUCCAGGGGUGUUUACUUGGAGGGUUUGGACAGAGGCAUAAUAGCUUGUUCUGGGGCGUUGCUUCAUCGGAGAAUUUUGGAAGCUGUCGAUGCAAGUUGGAACUCAUCAACGUUGUAA